RNAcentral lists this ribosomal RNA (484 nucleotides) under Treponema sp. Its description in RNAcentral is "partial 23S ribosomal RNA". It matches the Rfam family "Bacterial large subunit ribosomal RNA", at positions 1 to 491 of the family's 2925-position model. Lineage: Bacteria; Pseudomonadati; Spirochaetota; Spirochaetia; Treponematales; Treponemataceae. The record is from RNAcentral.
AAAAUAAAGUACAUAAGGGCACAUGGGGGAUGCCUAGGCUCUGGAAGGCGACGAAGGACGUGAUAAGCUGCGAUAAGCCGCGGGGAUUGGCAAAUACGAAUCGAUCCGCGGAUUUCCGAAUGGGGCAACCUGAUACGAGAAGAUUGUAUCAUUCCAUCCAGUAUGGAAGGCAAACGCGGGGAACUGAAACAUCUAAGUACCCGCAGGAGAAGAAAACAAAAGUGAUUCCCGGAGUAGUGGCGAGCGAAACGGGAAUAGCCCAAACCGGUGUUGUUUCGGCAAUACCGGGGUUGUAGGACCGGGAAGUGGCAAGAGACCAAGGAAGCGGAAGCGCCUGGAAAGGCGCAUCGUAGAGGGUGAUAAUCCCGUACGCGACUCCCUGGCGAAGCCUACCGGUAUCCUGAGUAGCGCGGGACACGAGAAAUCCUGUGUGAAUCCGGCGGGACCAUCCGCCAAGGCUAAAUACUCUCCAGAGACCGAUAGU